This 465-nucleotide ribosomal RNA is filed under the name uncultured bacterium. RNAcentral's name for it is "partial 16S ribosomal RNA". It matches the Rfam family "Bacterial small subunit ribosomal RNA", at positions 28 to 507 of the family's 1533-position model. The record is from RNAcentral.
GACGAACGCUGGCGGCGUGCUUAACACAUGCAAGUCGAACGGAAAGGCCCCUUUGGGGGUACUCGAGUGGCGAACGGGUGAGUAACACGUGAGUAACCUGCCCUUGACUUCGGGAUAACUUCAGGAAACUGGGGCUAAUACCGGAUAGGAAUCCUUGCUGCAUGGUGGGGGUUGGAAAGCUUCGGCGGUUUUGGAUGGACUCGCGGCUUAUCAGCUUGUUGGUGGGGUAGUGGCUUACCAAGGCUUUGACGGGUAGCCGGCCUGAGAGGGCGACCGGCCACAUUGGGACUGAGAUACGGCCCAGACUCCUACGGGAGGCAGCAGUGGGGAAGAUUGCACAAUGGGCGGAAGCCUGAUGCAGCAACGCCGCGUGCGGGAUGACGGCCUUCGGGUUGAAAACCGCUUUCAGCAGGGGCGAAGCUUGUGGUGACGGUACCUGCAGAAGAAGCACCGGCUAACUACGUG